Maniola jurtina (meadow brown) is the source of this 4399-nucleotide RNA transcript. It is a transcript of the gene named lysosomal alpha-mannosidase-like, with no coding region annotated. The record is from RefSeq and is a predicted model, not a curated record. The transcript is spliced from 17 exons. Lineage: Eukaryota; Metazoa; Arthropoda; Insecta; Lepidoptera; Nymphalidae.
AAUGUCAUUCAAUUCAAUCAUUCAGUGGUCUGUGCAUUCAAUGAUUGCGGGAGAAGAAGAGUAGACAUCAUUUAAAAUUGUAAUUUCAUAGAAAUUAAACUAAUAUUCUUUGUUAGUUUUCUUAGAUGUAGUGUGGAUUUGUAACUGAAAAUGUUACUACCGUUGCUGCUAGUGUGUGCUGUUGGGUCAUCAUCCGCCAUACCUCUCGCUGAUGAAAUAUAUCCCAGGAAAGAGGAAACCUGUGGCUAUGAGAGUUGCACACAAGCAGAUCCGAAUAUGUUGAAUGUGCACAUAGUGCCUCACACACACGACGAUGUUGGCUGGCUCAAGACUGUGGACCAGUAUUACUACGGCAGUCGGAACAACAUUCAAAAAGCUGGGGUCCAGUACAUUUUGGAUUCAGUCAUCAAAGAACUAUGGCAGGACCCAAAAAGAAGGUUCAUCUACGUCGAAACAGCUUUCUUCUGGAAAUGGUGGGUGCAUCAGAACGACGACGUACGUCACAAAGUGCACACAUUAGUGCGACAAGGACGGCUACAGUUUGUGGGCGGGGCUUGGAGCAUGAACGAUGAGGCCGCUUCACACUACCAGAGCACUAUUGAUCAGUUUACUUGGGGCCUGAGAAAGCUCAACGAGACAUUCGGUCCCUGUGGGAUGCCACGCGUGGGAUGGCAAAUAGACCCGUUCGGUCACUCGCGCGAAUUCGCCUCUCUGCUCGCGGCUAUGGGCUAUGACGGCCUGUUCCUGGGCCGGAUAGACUAUCAGGACAAAGGGGCUAGACUCCUUCAGAAGAGGAUGGAGAUGGUUUGGAGAGGGGAUGAUGAUUUGGGGAACUCAUCAGACUUAUUCACGGGAGUACUUUUCAAUACUUACUCCCCGCCGCCCGGGUUCUGUUUCGACGUGCUCUGUGACGACGAGCCUAUUAUAGACGACCCUGCCUCGCCCAUGUUCAAUGUUGACGAUCGAGUACACGAUUUUUUGGAAAUAUGCAGAAACAUUUCCAAAAAUUACGUCACGAAAAACAUUUUGAUAACAAUGGGUGAAGACUUUUUCUACCAAAAUGCUGCUAUGUCUUUCAAAAAUUUAGACAAACUUAUUGAAUACGCAAACCUGAAGUCGGCGAAAGAUGGUUUUAACAUAAAGCUGUUUUAUUCAACACCUGAUUGUUACUUGAAAGCUGUUAGAGACGCAAACCCAACACUUCCCACAAAACAAGACGAUUUCUUUCCAUACGCAAGCGAUCCCACAGCUUACUGGACGGGUUACUUUACCUCGAGACCUACAACUAAAUACUUUGAGCGGCAAGGAAAUGAUUAUUUACAGAUGGUGAAACAUCUUCAAGUGUUAGGAGGUUUAGAGGAACACAACAAAUUUGUAUUGAACGAACUUAAAAGUGCAAUGGGUGUAAUGCAGCACCACGACGCUAUAACCGGCACUGAAAAACAACACGUCGCCCGCGACUAUGAGAGGUUGCUCGACGCGGCCAUCGAGGACGCCAUACUCAUUGCCAGGCAGGCCUUCAACAAAAUCGCUCAGGGCGACAGCUUGAAAUUACCGCUUUUCGCUUACGAGCGCUGCAAGCUGAACGAGUCCAGCUGCCCCGUCGCCGAGACCAGCAAGCAGUUUGUGGUAACGAUCUACAAUCCUUUGGCGUGGGACACCAAAGAACCCAUCAGGAUCCCCGUCAAAGAUGGGGCAUACGAAGUAUACGCACCUAAUGGUGAUAAAAUAGACUCGCAGUUAGUAGAUAUACCUGAACCAGUAAGAAAUAUACCGACAAGAAAAUCCGAGGCAACCCAUGAGUUAGUGUUUAUAGCAAAACUCCACGCUAUGGGCGUCAAAUCAUUUUUCAUAAAGAAAGUAAACCAAAAAUUCAAAAGGGACACUCAAAAUAACGAAAGAAAAAAUGAUUACUACAAUAUUAAUGAUUACUGGAAAAAUAUUCGCGAUAAAACUUAUAUUGAUAUACAGAACAUUGAUGACGUUGAUAUAAAAGACAGCUAUUUCCCUGUUAGAGACGCUCCAGUAUUACCGGAAAAAUAUUCGAGGAAUAUUCAAGACAAUAUUCCAAUAUUGGUGAAUUACCGUAACAAUAUGGACAAUAAAGUCAAUAUUGUCCAAGGAAUUGAUAUUGAUUUGCUAAAGGAUAAGGAAUCACCAGAUUACGGGGUAGGGGAAUUGGAAAAAAUUAUUAAGGAGGUAUAUUUUGGGAAAAGUGGAGGGGAGGCGAGGAGUUUGGAUAAGAAGUGGACUUAUCCGACUUUGAAUGAGGAGGAAAUGAGGAUGCUGUCCGAUGAACCACAGGUCGUGGAGCGAUCUGACGAGUUUUAUUUGGAGAAUGAGUUCAUGAAACUUCGCAUAGACAACGAGACCGGUCAAAUCACGCACAUGAUUCUACCCGACCGUACUGUUAACUUGAGAAUACAGCUAUACUACUGGACGGGGUGCUAUGGCGACAACACGAAUACAUCCCAAAGAUCCUCAGGGGCUUACAUAUUCAGACCCAAAACCACGAAACCGUACGAAAUUACAUACAAAAAUAAUGGCACAAUAGACGGAAAAGUUGUAUACGAAGUCAGAGCCAUAUCGGACCAAAACGCUUUUAGUACCUUACGACUUUACAAAGGACUUAACUUUUUGGAACACGAUUUUGUUGUUGGACCUAUAGAUGUAACGGAUAAUGUUGGCAAAGAAUAUAUAGUAAGAUACGAAAGUAAUUUAAAUAAUAAUGGCGUGUUUUACACAGAUUCAAACGGUAGACAGAUGUUGAAACGUGUCAUAAACAAAAGAUAUGAUUAUAAUUUAACCCUACAAGAACCGGUCGCGGGGAAUUAUUAUCCAGUUACUAAUGAAAUUUCGAUUGAAGAUAACAAUGAUAGAAUAUCCAUUUUAACUGAUAGGUCAGUUGGUGGUACGUCAUUAAAUAUAGGUGAUAUAGAAGUUAUGGUACAUAGACGAUUGUUACAUGAUGACGCUUUUGGUGUCGGUGAAGCUUUGAAUGAAACAGUCAAUGGCGUAGGUUUAAUAGUGAGAGGUGCGCAUAGAAUACUUUUUGUCAACCCCAACAAACCAGAUGAAACACUAAACGAAAGGAAACAAGUCAUACAAAAUCAUUUAAAACCAAUCAUAUUCGUAUCCAAUUCUGAACAUGUCACUUAUGAAAAUUGGAUUAAAUUAAACAAUUGUUAUAAAGGAAUUAAACCUUUGCCACCAGGUGUUCAUUUAUUGACACUAGAACCAUGGGACAGUAAUAAGUUUUUGAUUAGAUUCGAAAAUGUUAUGGAGAAAUCAGAUACGUCCACUGUAGAAUUGGAUUUGACGGAUAUGUUUGGUAAUUUGAAAAUUAAAUCGAUUAAAGAAACAACUUUGGCAGCGAAUAGAUGGUUGAAAGAUACAGAAAAGUGGUCUUGGAAAACUGACAGUGAAUUUUCUGAUAGCUUUAAUAAUGCUUAUGGUGAUUCGAUAGCUAGGGGUGAUAAAAACGUUAAAGAUGAUGAAAGUUUACUUGAUGAUGGAAUUAACGGCCAAAAUGAUGAUGGAUUCAAGAUUAAAAUAAAAGCGAAACAAAUCAGAACUUUUAUAGCUGAAUAUGAGUAUAGCUUAUUGAAAUAAUUAAAUUGUUAGUGAAUUUAAAAAAAGAAGAUUUUUGUCUAUGAGCAAAUUAAAUUAAAGGCCAAAUUAAUAAUGGAUUGAAGAUUAAAAUGAAAGCGAAACAAAUUAGAACUAUUAUAGCUGAAUAUGGCUAUAUUUAUUGAAAUAAUUAAAUUGUUAGUGAAUUUAAAAAAAGAAGAUUUUCGUCUAUGAGCAAAUUAAAUUAAAGGCCAAAAUGAUAAUGGAUUGAAGAUUAAAAUGAAAGCGAAACAAAUUAGAACUUUUAUAGCUGAAUAUGACUAUAUUUACUGAAAUAAUUAAAUUGUUAGUGAAUUUAAAAAAGAAGAUUUUUGUCUAUGAGCAAAUUAAAUUAAAGGCCAAAAUGAUAAUGGAUUCAAGAUUAAAAUAAAAGCGAAACAAAUCAGAACUUUUAUAGCUGAAUAUGACUAUAGUAUAUUGAAAUAAUUAAUUUAAAAAAAGAAUGUGAUUUUGUCUAUGAGAAAAUUAAAUUAAAGGCCAAAAUAAUCAUGGAUUGAAGAUUAAAAUGAAAGCGAAACAAAUCAGAACUUUUACAGCUGAAUAUGACUAUAGUUUAUUGAAAUAAUUAAAUUGUUAGUGAAUUUAAAAAAGAAGAUUUUUGUCUAUGAGCAAAUUAAAUUAAAGGCCAAAUUAAUAAUGGAUUGAAGAUUAAAAUGAAAGCGAAACAAAUCAGAACUUUUAUAGCUGAAUAUGAGUAUAGUUUAUUGAAAUAAUUAAGUUGUUAAUGAUUUCAAAAAAAAAAAUGUGAUUUUUGUCUAUGAGCAAAUUA